This 565-nucleotide long non-coding RNA is filed under the name Carassius auratus (goldfish). Its description in RNAcentral is "lncRNA (ENSCARG00000011772.1)". Lineage: Eukaryota; Metazoa; Chordata; Actinopteri; Cypriniformes; Cyprinidae. The record is from RNAcentral.
AUCGUAACUAAUAUCAAAGUAACUGUGUGAAAUUGUGAUUGCCCUGUAGUUACUAAUUCCCAAAUUUACAAAACUGCAAUCAUAAUGGGGUUCAGAUGGAUUGUAUGCAACCAGGCCUGAUUACUGCCAGCCGUGUUCAAUUACGUCAACACUUGUAAAGAACAUUUCAACAGCAUGAAGUUGGUUUAAAGGUCAUACCCAGUAGAGGAUAACCUCACAGAAUUCUUUUAAGAGCAGAGCAACGACUCAUCCAGGAAGUCACAAAAGACCCACGCACAACAUAGUAGGAACGGCAGGCCUCUCUCGCAUCAGAUGGCAUCCAUGAUUUCCCAUCCCCCCAACUGUCACUCAGGACCAGAAGAAAGGUGUUCCGUGAUUGGCCAGCUAUCCAGUGCCUUUUGAUUGGCUAAAUACCUCAAGCAUGGGACAGAAAUGUUACACCUCUUGACAUAUUGUGAAGCCUUGUCCGGCCGGAGCAACGAGGCCAAAAUGCAAAACCAAUUAUAAAUGCGAUGUAAACAUGAUUUCUAGUCGUGUUUUCUUUUGGAAGGAUAAAAGACAGUAG